Marmota flaviventris (yellow-bellied marmot) is the source of this 1023-nucleotide long non-coding RNA. RefSeq lists it as uncharacterized. The record is from RefSeq and is a predicted model, not a curated record. Lineage: Eukaryota; Metazoa; Chordata; Mammalia; Rodentia; Sciuridae.
AUUAAUUUCCUCAUUUUAUGGGUAAGGAGAUUUGUCUAAGGUCCAAGAGCUAGGGAGUAGCACGUCUGGAAUCCAAAGCCUGUCUUAUCUCAAGCCUGUUGUGAAUUGAGAGAAGAUAAAUCCAUGCAUGACUCCUGCGUUUUGGGGGGUCUAUGACAACACAGAGAUGUUUAAGGUGAGUGAGGGUCAGCUGUGUCCUCAGACCUCAUUAUCAUAAUAUUAAGGAAGCAAUUCUCUGAACAAAUUCUUCCCCAAACACACACACACACACACACAUUUUUUUUUUUUCCCCUUAACAAACAUUCUUUCAGAAAGCAGCUGAGGACAGUUCAUGCAACUGUGAGCUUGAUGAAUUCCACCCCUUGAUGAAAUUCCCCGGAGAGCAGAUGCAACAAUAUUCCUGCAGAGGCCCAACCCUGAUACCCGAGGGCUGGCAUUAGACAACCAGAAAUCCUCUGAGCUAGCAGCUGGUCAUGGAAUUGUUUAUGAGCGCUCUCCCCGUGGGCGUGGUCACAGGCCUCACUGGAUGUCUUCCGCCUGUUUUUGCACAGCCUCGGAAUCCAGAAGCCUCGCCUGACAGCUGCCGGUCCUAAGUCAUCCACUAACGGGGCCCCAAGCAGGAUGCUUCAUUUCCUCUUCUGCAGACAGACAUAUUGAGCUGGUCUAUUCAUUUAAAAGCAGAGCAGCAUUGCUGUAAUUUAUGGAAAACGCGUCAGAUCCUCAACCUCCUUGAGAGUUCCAUUUUCCCAUGCAUGUGUGAACCACAGCGAAAGGUAGCAUUUCAGGCUAGAGAUCAGUAAGAGGAGCUUUCAGCAUGAAUGAUUCCCUUUUUCUGCAAAUGCCUGGUGCAUUUACACUCUGCACGCAACAAGCAGAGUGCUAUGAAUAUAGCAGACAAUGAGUCUUGAUGGAUUAAUUUCUUCUUUGGAGGUUGCGGAAGCUUUUGUGGACGGGGUGUUUUCUCUGAGAGGAAGCUUCAUGAGGACAGGAACUGUGUAUUAAACACUUUUGCAUCUUGCACAA